CCACAUCCACUGACAGGCCUUGAACUAUCUGAUGUUGUUCUUUUGGUUUGCACUAGGAUGUGGGGGGGGGGGGGAAUCCCUGUACUUUCUAUCUAUCUGUGUAGUAGCCCAAUUGAAUAAGGGAUUAUAUCU
Myotis lucifugus (little brown bat) is the source of this 132-nucleotide small nucleolar RNA. Ensembl annotates it as small nucleolar RNA SNORA31. Lineage: Eukaryota; Metazoa; Chordata; Mammalia; Chiroptera; Vespertilionidae. The record is from Ensembl.